Molecule: long non-coding RNA, 1659 nt
Organism: Mauremys mutica (yellowpond turtle)
Lineage: Eukaryota; Metazoa; Chordata; Testudines; Geoemydidae
Exons: 3
Source: RefSeq, a predicted model, not a curated record
GCUUUUUAAAAAAAAAAACCCGCACCCAUUUAAAAUGAGCAAAGCAGCCACAACCACACUGAAGGUCACAGUUUUCCCUGGGGACUCCAUUAUACCUGCAUCACACACGUCACAGGAGAGGCCAAUGAUUCAACAGGCGAUGGACUUCUGAGAAAUGGAAACUGAGUUUUCCCAGCAGCUAAGCCACAACUGGGGAGCUUGCCUUCAGGUCACAUCAGAACGACCAUGGACUUCAGCACCUCCAUGAUGAAAGAAUCUCCUUACCUUGGUAAGUGGCCUGUGAACCUCGUUAACUUGUCUCGUUUACCAUCCGAAGUUGGCCCAAUAGAAGACAAUACCUCACCCCCCCUUGUCUCUCUAAAAGGCAAUUAGACAUUUUUGGGAAAAGGCUGAAGAUGAAAUAAAACAUUCCAAUGCUUAUUCCAUGGACAUGCAGCUGUACGGCUCCUUCCCCGUGGGCUGGGACAGGACCAAUUCCCUGCCUUGUCAAUGUCUGGCAGAGACGAGGACCUGGCUGGAAACCCGCUGGCAUCAGCUCAGAUAAAAGGGAAGCAAUGCUGCUUGGCAAGAGGAAGCAGUUUGAGGAACUGGCAAAGCCUGUGUCUGCUCCAUCGGCUGAGGGCCCUGGCCUAUCUAUUGUCAAAGUAGUCUGAGAUCUUGGGUUUCUCCCAGGCUUUUCUCUGCCCUGGACUCCCACACAGUGGCAAUGGCCAGAGUCUCUCAGAUUUUUGCUGGCCGUUCCUCUCAGAUUCAGACCUGACCGUGAUCAUCUGGACCGUUGUGACCUCUAGUCUAGGUCACAGCAAUGUGCUGUCCCUCAGGCUAAUGCCCAAGGCCACUUUCAAGCUUCACUUGCGGUCAAUAUGGCCUUUUGAGUAGGACAGAGAGCCCAGAGCAUAUUACACCUGUGCACUGUGCUCCACUCUGCCUGCCAGCUCACUUCCAAAUGAAAUUACUAAUGAUAAAUCUCUAAUUGCUUCCUACAUGCUGAGCAGCCGCAGCUCCAGCUGACAUCAAAGGGAUCCAUAUGUGAAAACCAGAUUGCAAGUUGUCCAGGUCCCAGUUAGCUCAUCUCUCUCCCUAUCCCCUGCCACAGCACGUGUGCUUGGAAGACGGGCUUUGGGUCUGUCCUAGGGAUGAUGUUUGUGGGAGGAGAGGGCAGGGCGUUCUCCAGGUCAGGGCUUGCCCCUCCAAAAUUUAAUCCCAGCAGCUAUUUCUGAGCCCAAACCUGGCCACUUUCAGACUGAGGUGUAAGACAAGUCUGUCUCUUUGCUCUGGCUUCCCAAUAAAACCAGGGCCUUGGGAUCCCCUGAAUUUAACCCACUUGCUGAAAUACACAAGCUCAGCCCUUGUCUGGGAUGCUGGCUCAGGGAGUACAUGAUCCCUGUUUUGAGGAAGGUGAUUUCUGGUAUCUUUGUAACACAUUUCAUCUUCGUUUGAUUCAUGCCCCCUUCUUCUUUUAAUCUUUAUUUGGGAACCUGUCCCUUUCAAGACCCUGACCAAAUUCUGUUUUCAGUUACACCGGAGUAAUUCUGGACUAACUCCAUUAACUUUAGUGGAGUUGCUUCAGAUUUAGAUCCUGUCUAUACUGCACCUAUUAACUGUGAUUUUGUAACCAGCUAGGGGCGGAGCCAGUUACUGUUGGUUGUGUGAUUCUGU